Molecule: long non-coding RNA, 5464 nt
Organism: Anguilla anguilla (European eel)
Lineage: Eukaryota; Metazoa; Chordata; Actinopteri; Anguilliformes; Anguillidae
Exons: 3
Source: RefSeq, a predicted model, not a curated record
GAGAGAGAGAGAAAGAGAGAGAGUGAGAGAGAGAGAAAUAGUAAAAAGUAUGGGUGUGUAGAUGAAGACUUCAUCAGCACAGGUGAUGUCAGAGUAGGGAUGCAUGUUACCACAGCACAGGGCAUAACGAAAGGAACAACUGUGCUGACAUGCUGCGUGAAGAGAUUUCAAUUCACAGCAAGGUCGUGGGGGUGGUUGGGAUAAACUGCAUUCAUGGUUCACAUUUUAUACGAACACGCAUUUAAUAUACAUGUAAUGUAGUGCUUAUUGGUGAUGGGAAUACAUGGAAAAAAUGGUGACGGCAACAGGCAGUUAAUCAGAUAAGCUUUCUCCCUGGUUGUAAUUUCGCAUUCUUCUAUAAUUUACCAUGGCAAUAUGAGUUUUUUAUGACCGUGUUUAAUUUAGAAUUCAGUGGCACUCAGAUUUUAGGUGUAAUUUAAAUAUUAUUCUCUAGCCUCUGACCUCCUGUAAGGCAAUUUGGGUUCUUAUGGACGUAUACAUUACAGGGAUUCAGGAAUUAAUCCUUGGUACAUUUAUUUUUAUGAGACUCUCCUAGUUGAAAACACUAUGAAAUAAAAGACCUGCAAGAUGCUUUAUUAAUAAAAUGAGUUUGGUAAUUCAAAAAUGACAGCCAUCUUGCCUCAUGUCCCUAAGGAUCUUUGAAGAACUCCAUCAUAAACUGAAAAAAUAUCAUGGGAAGAUGCUGUAUUGACACUACAGAUUUAUUGCCUGAGAUCAAAAUUUAAUGAAUUCAGCGUUUUCACACUGGCAAUAAAUGCAUUAAAAUGGAUUUAUCAUGCCUGCUACAGAGCUCACGCCACCUCCUCACGAAGGUAAUUUACUGUAAAAAAUUAAACUGUUUUCUUCAGGAGUGGAAGCAAUGUUUUUGCUGUACUGCUUCAUAAUGUGAGGCACUGCUUCCUCUGCAUGGGAACCCUUCACACUUCAUUAUGCAGACCACUCAUGUUCAAGUGGAUAAAAUCAGAACCAGACUAAACACAGCAAAAGGUAUGUAUGCACACAACCAUUCAGUGGAAAUAGUCAGGCCAACUUUCAGCAGUUGAUGACUGGAUAAUUAAACAAACCCUAAAAAGUGCAUUUACAUUUCAGUCAGGAGGGGUUGUAUAUAUCUGACCGGGGUUCAUUCGAUGGACUAAUUAUAGAGGGAAUUAUGUUGAACUCACAAUAAAAAUUUAAAAUGUUUUUUUUUAAAACAAUAACAUUGAAAACAAACCAUAUUCAGAAGUAGAAUAUGGCCAUGUUUAAUCACUGAUUAUAACUUUAUGCUCUAUAAUGUGAUUGGUCGGAAAUGAAUAACCACUUCAGUGAAUCAAAAAACAAAAAACAAAAAAAUAAAUUUUAAUCGAGGUAUUAGGACCAAAUACUGUAUAUCAAUAUUGUUUCAUCUCAUUGAUGUGAUGUGUAUGCAAGCACUGAUACAAUCGAGCAGAAGCACUUUUUCCCAUGUCCUUAUCUCCUAUUCUUAGCUGAGCAGUGGUAAAAACACUUGCUGAAAUAAGGCAAGAAAGAACACAGCAGAAACUCAACCAUCAACAUCUGCAGGCCUGAGGGAGAUGGCUAUUGAGGCAAGACAAUAAAACCUUCGCGGGACAUAAACCUUUCGGGACCAGGCACACCUUUGUCCAUCACAACCAGUUUCCUGUGAAGGGAUGUAAAGACCCGCAGAAAUUCAAUAUAGGGAACAUGAGGAAACUCAGACCCCUUCUCCCCUGUGUGUUCUCUGGUUUUUUUUUUACGUCUUGCGACUGUUUCCAGAAUACAAUGCCGUGUUGAAAAACCGAUCGACUUUCAGACUGGAUUGGGCUGGGGGGUGGGGUUUGGGAGCUGAGGGUCCCAAGGAUGUUGCAAAGACUAGAUAUUGCCUGAGCUAGAUAUCCAUGAGGUGCAGAUAAGGUAAUGGCUGAUGUAGAACUGCCAUAGCUCCAAAAUGACAAAUUGUUAACUUUCACUCUCAGGGGUUGAUCCUCUAAAAAUACGUACAGAGCACAAGUCAUGCUGUUCAUUGAGAACAGCUGUGAAUGCCACUACCCAUGCCAAAUUGAAUGACUGAUUCAAGCACGAUUCAAGUAUUGAUGAAAAUAAAAUAACUGAGCACCCAAAUAGUUCGUGAGUGUAGCUCACAAGUACAAUAAAUAUGUCACUUUCUUUUUGUUUUAGCUGUGAAACAAAAUGUUUAGUCCAUCAGAUCAGCCUUCAUAAGGUAUUUUAUGAGAGAGGAUUAUGUUUCAUCUCUGCUGCACUCGUUUACAUUUUGAGGUUUUGUCUCUUCUUCCUUGUUUGAGCAAAAUAAGUAAAUAAAAGUCUCAAAAAUGGUUCUUGGUGUCAAAUUAUCUCUGAAUGCAUAAAACGUGAAAGGGUAAUUUUGUUGAUACCUAUUAUUGAAUAUGAGCAAGCGUUGAUUCAAUAACAGGACUGUUACAAACAAAAUGCCUUUUUACGAUUAAUUACUUUGGUGCAUAAAUAAUGGUGCAGAAAUAUUAAUAACAAAACAAAGGAACUGAGCCACAAAAAGUGACAUGGUUAUUGGAAUUGUAAAUCUAAAUUAUAAUCUAGAUAUUUGUCUCUGCUCAAUAUACAACAGCCUAUUUACAUUAUAGAUUAAAAUAAAUUAUAGGGGGCAGGAUCAAUGUAAUCUUUUUCAUCAUGCAAUUUGGCAUGUGGUGAUGAAUAAUUUCUGUCUCUCUUAACCCAAAGGAACCUUUGUUUAGAAGAUCCACAUUAGUGCCAGGUUUCAGGUCAUUUUGAAAACCCUGAUAAUUGUGAGUGAUAAGUCGUAAUUAUCUGUGUGAAUUGGACAUGCCCUGUACUGAGCCCAAUUUGCAUAAACAUUUGUCAUUUUGCUUCUGAAAUUAAUGUUGAAAGCAGUGUAGUUGCAUGUGCUUUCCACCCACUGAGGGUGCAUUGUGAAUCAUAUGCAACUUUUCUUUUUUUCUGGUGCUUGGCGAUGGCUGAAAAACCAUCACAAUCCAUUUCUGAAUUCCUCCUGAGAUUUUUCAGAGAGCUUGCAAUGUUUUAGUGAUAUCGAACAACACAGAAGCCUCCAAAUUUAGCAAGAAACCUCCAGCCAGUUAUUCUAUCCUUCUUUUAUCCUUUUGUAUUUGUUUACCCUUAAACAAUAUUAUGUGAAUAAUAUAUGUUGCAAUUAAGUAUAAUUUCAUAUAAAAUAUGCACUUUUAUUUAUUGCUAAAACGUUUUCCUGUUUCAUUUUCUUUGAGUCAUGCUGCCUGUUACACUGCUGAUUGCCUCCAGAAGUGUUGAAUUAAGUCAAAAUUCACUGAAGUGCUCAAAGUCCAGGUCUAACUGGGCUGGAGUAAUCCUCGGCGAAUCAGGAGAAUGAAUGACCACUGCAGUUCCCUGAUUCCAGACUCCCAGAGGACACAAUGGGGCUUCAGGGAUGGGCUGAUUCCUCAGGAAUUUAUGGCACUGCCGUUGCAUGGAGGAGCGGGGCCAACAUCGCCGCAUAAAACGCUUUACCACAUUCACCUCUCCUUCGGAAACACCACGGGGCCAUUAGAACAGAGCCGCCUUUGAUGUGCACGCUAAUUUGUGAUGCCUAAAAUGUCAGGGCGAGAGGCAGACCCAUGGUGAGAAGGGUAACACAGGUGGCUAAUGAGAGCAUCAGGCUGCUCUCUGAGGGUUCGGAAAUGAAGAUGUAUGCAUUAAAUGACACACCUUGACAGCCCUGGCAUUUCGCGUUCAUUUGUACAGAUAAUGGGAUUUAUUUUGCCAAACAGACUGGGGGGGCUCAUUAGCAUAUAUUUUGCAUAAAUUACACAGCACGGUGACAAAAGGCGCAUCUCCUGCAUUCCGAGCAUCCGUGUUUGACUGGGGCUUUUGGCAGAUGUUAUUUAAAAUCUACGGGUCAAUGCCGUCUGCAAAAGCUUUAGCAUUAGCAAUCAAGAACAUCUUUGUAGAUAUACAUAUUUACAUAUUUGUCAGUAGGUAAAACCUUGGGAACAAUGGCUCUGUAAUAAAAUAAUUGUUACUGGGCCAGGAGAGAAGUAGGUGAUGUUAUAUGAUUUAAUGGCUCCCACAGAUCCCUGGACAUGACCGUUGGGAUUCAUCAAGCAGACACUACAUUCUGCUCUUUAUUUAGUCCUAUGCACCAUGUAUGAAUGUUUGACUUUUAAAAUGACCAUUAAAUAUUUCUAGAAUCUUAUUAAACUAUUUACACGAUGUCAAAAUGUACUCAGAUUUUUGUUAUAUUUCUUGCAGCUGUGUGUAUCAUGAAAAGGGACUGGUUUUUUAUAACCGUAUAUGGACUAUUUAGCAAGUCCAUUCAGUGUACAUUUUGCUGCCAUGGCUACAAUGAUGGCUGUGGCUGUCAUUCAUCCUGAAGCAAAAAGUACUUUAGAAAAAAAGUGACCAUGUAAUAACCAUUCAUGAGAGUGAUGUGCAAUUUAAUAGAAAUGUGCACCUAUAUCCUGACAUAGAGCACAUAAUAUGGGAAUCAUCAGUCACCAGCUGAGUUAUUGCUUAUUCAUGAUUUGCAAAUGUAGAAAGCCUAACUGUAUAAUCAUUGCUUUUAUUUUAGGGAAAAAUUUACUUUUAAGAUAUCAUGUUUUACCAAUAUUUGGCUGGCAUUUUAUAUGAACAGUUUGGAAUCUUUUCUCAGGAUGCACAUGAUUUUUGAGUUAGUUAAUUUGAUUCAGUGGACAGCAGGUAAAUUAAGACAUGUCAUGUUGUCAGUGGGAAUACCCACCUGGCAGCCUGUAUCCAGAGAAUGACAGGCAAUGCUGAGCAUCAGUGACAUCAUUAAAAUAUGACAAGAACAUACUAUAUCUUCAUUAGCGCCACAUUACAAACACUCCUUUGAAUCUAAAAAUACAUUUUAGAUAGUGUACAGUUAAAAACAGACAGUGGGCCUGUAGAAUCUAUGGUACUAGCCAGGCCUAUAGCAACAAAUAUAAUUUUGUGGAGGAGGGGCAUCAGGGAGGUUAGAGGAAGUGGAUCAAAUUCAAUACUUGAACAUUUGAUUGUGCCACUGAUCACCGUUAGGGCCUACAAUAUUUUACAAUAAUCUUUAUUUCUUUCCAUAUUAAUGGGAAAAGGGAUUUAAAAAAAAAAUACUACUGGAUGGUGGUUUAAAACACUGUUGACCAGUGGGCCAACUGAAUAUAGCAAAACAGUGAUGAUGACCAUAGAAUAAUUCUAUUGAAUAUAUUUAGCCAACAUUAAUGAUGUAACUAAUAUUAAUCCAUAGUAGGCCUAUGCUACCUAGCUAGUGACAGUAAUGUACGGUGGCUAAAACUAAAACUACCAAACUAAAUAAAGCUAAACUGAAAUUGAAAUAAAAAGCUAGUGAAUAAUUUACUGUAGGAUCAGAUUUAGGUUUAGUUAAUGAAAGUAAAAACAAUAGUAUAUUUAAUAUGAAUAUAUUAUUAUAUUAAGUUUGUAUUGAUAAGCACUUUUUGAACAUAAGGUCUGUAACUACUUAGAAUUA